RNAcentral lists this ribosomal RNA (591 nucleotides) under uncultured Burkholderia sp. RNAcentral's name for it is "bacterial SSU rRNA". It matches the Rfam family "Bacterial small subunit ribosomal RNA", at positions 418 to 1003 of the family's 1533-position model. Lineage: Bacteria; Pseudomonadati; Pseudomonadota; Betaproteobacteria; Burkholderiales; Burkholderiaceae. The record is from RNAcentral.
UCGGGUUGUAAAGCACUUUUGUCCGGAAAGAAAACCUCUGGGUUAAUACCCCGGGGGGAUGACGGUACCGGAAGAAUAAGCACCGGCUAACUACGUGCCAGCAGCGCGGUAAUCGUAGGGUGCGAGCGUUAAUCGGAAUUACUGGGCGUAAAGCGUGCGCAGGCGGUUCGUUAAGACAGAUGUGAAAUCCCCGGGCUUAACCUGGGAACUGCAUUUGUGACUGGCGGGCUAGAGUAUGGCAGAGGGGGGUAGAAUUCCACGUGUAGCAGUGAAAUGCGUAGAGAUGUGGAGGAAUACCGAUGGCGAAGGCAGCCCCCUGGGCCAAUACUGACGCUCAUGCACGAAAGCGUGGGGAGCAAACAGGAUUAGAUACCCUGGUAGUCCACGCCCUAAACGAUGUCAACUGGUUGUCGGGUCUUCAUUGACUUGGUAACGUAGCUAACGCGUGAAGUUGACCGCCUGGGGAGUACGGUCGCAAGAUUAAAACUCAAAGGAAUUGACGGGGACCCGCACAAGCGGUGGAUGAAGGUGGAUUAAUUCGAUGCAACGCGAAAAACCUUACCUACCCUUGACAUGUGUGGAACCCUGCCG